GGAUGCAACCGGGCACGAAUUUGCGACUCGUCUUGGCAAUGUGUUCACAAUUGGCAAGGGGACUAAGCCAUGGGUGUCCCUACCCAAGGGUAAGGGUAUUAAAUUAUCCAUCAUUGAAGAGGCCAGGAAGAGGCUAGCAAGCCAAGCCGCAGUUACCGCUUAAGACUUAAAUGUAGUGUAGUCAUGAUGAAAGGUGGGAUUUUGCUCUUAGUUUUAUAUUUUGGUCAACUAGAUCUCUCCUCGAAAAGAUUGAUACUUUGUUUUUUCUACUAGAAUUGUGUGAGGCUACUGC
This 292-nucleotide unclassified non-coding RNA is filed under the name Hevea brasiliensis (rubber tree). Lineage: Eukaryota; Viridiplantae; Streptophyta; Magnoliopsida; Malpighiales; Euphorbiaceae. The record is from RNAcentral.